Molecule: long non-coding RNA, 180 nt
Filed under: Chinchilla lanigera (long-tailed chinchilla)
Lineage: Eukaryota; Metazoa; Chordata; Mammalia; Rodentia; Chinchillidae
Description: lncRNA (ENSCLAG00000028534.1)
Source: RNAcentral
AUGUAUGCAGGUGGUGUUACCCUCGUAUGGAAGACCCUAAAGGGUGUAAUAUAUAACACAAAGAAACAGCCCUUAGAGAAGAAACUGAAAAUGCAUGUGCAGGAAUCUCAGUGGACCAAGGUCACCCAGCAGCAGUUUUCUGUGCUAAUGAAUGUCCAGAGGAAACGGCCACCUCUUUGA